CGCUUAAACGGCAGAUGGUCAAAGAACUGCACCAUCGAGCUACUCCAGCGACACGACGCGCGUCUCGAAGGCCCGCCUUGCGUGCGGAAAAGGCUUUCUUCUUCUCUCCCUCGCUACUUGCCGGAGAAGGGCCACGACAGAGAUUCGGGGCGGCGGCGUCGCUAGACAAUAAUACUAUUUCACGUGGUCAGCUUGCACAUCCGCGCCGUGGCCCGUGGGUGUGGAAUGCUUCUUUUUAGUCUAUUUCACUGCUUUUUUGUGUUCUUUCUCCCGAUCUACUACUAGAUGCUACUCUGUAUUUGUUUUCUGCUGUGACUACGCGCGGUGUUUCCGGCCGGACGAGGAGGUCCUCCUUCUGCGUUGUCUUCACCGGCUCCACCUCGGAGUCUGGCCUGCAGGAUAUCGCCGCGGGAUUGCAGGGCAAGUCGCCAUGCCGGGGCGGCCGCGUCUAGGAAGCAGAGACCUCGGUCGACCUCGCCGGAGCCAUCCGCUACCCGCCCGCCCCGGCCUUCACACCAUCCGGCGUUGGUCUGCCGCGCCAAGGCGCAUCUCCGGCACCAACCGCCUCGACCCGAUUCGCCCCCUGUCGUUGUCCCCGUCUCCGACCUGAGCCGACCUGAGCCCCACCCGCUCGCGAGGCCGUGCGCAGGUAAGAUCGCAACCUGCCCUGUCCUGCGUCAGCUCAAUUUUUUCUUUCCCCUCUCUCGGAUCUCUCUCUCUAUAUAUAUAUCCACAGAUGCUGGGAUUACUCGUGGAGUACGACGGCAAGCUCGACAUGAAGCUCUUCAUCCCCUGCGGGAAUAAGGAGGAGCUGCACUCUUGAGCGGCAGCUGACAACCGAUGCCUCGCCCUUGCGCGUCGCCAAGCUCGGGUAGUCACGCCAAGCAGCAGUACGCAGCUGCGACGAGGACGGAAUUUAUUCGUCUUGGUACCCAAUUCAUCGGGUACCGUGACCAUGCUAAGAAGGUUGAAGAGACCCUUGCUGAAGCUAACAAACGCGCUGAUGCUCUUGAUCUCAAGUCUCAGCAUUUCUGUUGCUCCCUUUCCCUGAGAUUGCAGAUUACAGCUUUAUCGCUAGCACGGAGACUGAGCUUAUGGGACAAAGCAGAGUGCGUACAUAAGGCCCAGCGUUCUGUCCUGGGGAGGAAAGUCUAGCAGCUUGGCAGCUCAGCUAACCACCAUGUGAUCGUGUCUUAGCCUGAUGGAGGUGACGUUGGUGCUAUGAGCGUUUUUCUUCAGGAGCAGGACAUGGUGGGUUCGACAAGAUCAGCGGCUCUCCUGUUGGUGAUGUUCCCCUGGUUAUUUGCUGAGCAGGCUGGUCAUUGUGCACCUCGAUUUGUUUGGUCAAGUUUGCGUUGGGGUCCCGAGUGUCCUUUGGAUCUUUGUCUUUGGCUGACCGGUAUGGUUCAUCUAAUGGUUGGCGUUUACGGGUGAUGAUUCCCUAGGCAGAGACGGAGUUCUUGGGCCAUUUUGCCUUUGAUUUAUUCGUCCGGCCCUGAUUGGGUUGUUGUUGGUGUUGCUCAGUAUCACUCUGAUGGCACCGAAGGAGAUCAUCAUCAUCAUAUCCUCAAACGAAGAGGACAACGGCGGAGGCACCUGACAAGUCAAGAGCAAACAGAAAAGCUACCCUAGCUAGCUUACUCAACCAUGUAUCCCAGCAUUAGUGUGGAUUAAAUCUGCUAGCAAUACAUCUCCUCUAUCCUGCGUCAUGCAGUCCUAUCUUCUAUGCAAUCAAGCAGGGAUAUGUACCGGCACCGCCGGCAAAUGUGCAAUCUCGACGCCAACUAAGUGCAUCUGAUAUCGUUGCAAAAUAGAGCAGCUAGAUCAAUCUAAUGCACUAUGUAAUCCAAUAUAAAGAUCUACUACCUCGACCAAUUAAUGUAUGGAGUAACUUUUAUUAUC
Lolium perenne is the source of this 1902-nucleotide non-coding RNA. The record is from RefSeq and is a predicted model, not a curated record. Lineage: Eukaryota; Viridiplantae; Streptophyta; Magnoliopsida; Poales; Poaceae.